RNAcentral lists this ribosomal RNA (575 nucleotides) under uncultured bacterium. Its description in RNAcentral is "bacterial SSU rRNA". It matches the Rfam family "Bacterial small subunit ribosomal RNA", at positions 553 to 1127 of the family's 1533-position model. The record is from RNAcentral.
ACUGGGCGUAAAGAGCUCGUAGGUGGUUUGUCGCGUUGUUCGUGAAAUCUCACGGCUUAACUGUGAGCGUGCGGGCGAUACGGGCAGACUUGAGUACUGCAGGGGAGACUGGAAUUCCUGGUGUAGCGGUGGAAUGCGCAGAUAUCAGGAGGAACACCGGUGGCGAAGGCGGGUCUCUGGGCAGUAACUGACGCUGAGGAGCGAAAGCGUGGGGAGCGAACAGGAUUAGAUACCCUGGUAGUCCACGCCGUAAACGGUGGGUACUAGGUGUGGGUUUCCUUCCUUGGGAUCCGUGCCGUAGCUUACGCAUUAAGUACCCCGCCUGGGGAGUACGGCCGCAAGGCUAAAACUCAAAGAAAUUGACGGGGGCCCGCACAAGCGGCGGAGCAUGUGGAUUAAGUCGAUGCAACGCGAAGAACCUUACCUGGGUUUGACAUGCACAGGACGCCGGCAGAGAUGUCGGUUCCCUUGUGGCCUGUGUGCAGGUGGUGCAUGGCUGUCGUCAGCUCGUGUCGUGAGAUGUUGGGUUAAGUCCCGCAACGAGCGCAACCCUUGUCUCAUGUUGCCAGCGGGUA